CAAGACAUGGAGAAAACCCGCGAAGCACAGAUUAAUAGCGUAAUAUAUAAUAUUACUGACAACAUUUAAAACAAAGGAAUAGAAAAGAGAUCGGUACUUGACCAGGUGCUCUUUGUAUUUAAAAAAUAAAAAGAAAAGAAUGCGCCGGACACGAAUGACCCAGAGGUGUUAAAGUCAACACCUAUCUGGUUUUCAACCGGAGAGCUGAAAAGCUCAGGCUUUUUGAAGAAUCUCCAGUUCUCCGGCAGAAAAAAAAUGUUUUGAUUAAAGCUAAUCGUUUUCGAUAACUUUUUUAAGAGCACUGUAAAAAAGAGCACUGUAAUAAUUUGAAGCCAAAAUCUCAGCCAGAAGAGUUAUCGAGCUCCACCAGAACAUUACUCACGAUUGUGAAAAUGAUAUAUAAAGAUUAGAUAAAAAUGUAUGAAAAAAAAAUCAUAAUAUAAGAAAAUAAAUAUUAUCCUCAUGGCUGAGCAGUGUGCCUGAAAAUGUAACAACAAA
Molecule: long non-coding RNA, 498 nt
Organism: Acromyrmex echinatior (Panamanian leafcutter ant)
Lineage: Eukaryota; Metazoa; Arthropoda; Insecta; Hymenoptera; Formicidae
Source: RefSeq, a predicted model, not a curated record